GAUGAACGCUGGCGGCGUGCCUAAUACAUGCAAGUCGAGCGAACGGACGAGAAGCUUGCUUCUCUGAUGUUAGCGGCGGACGGGUGAGUAACACGUGGAUAACCUACCUAUAAGACUGGGAUAACUUCGGGAAACCGGAGCUAAUACCGGAUAAUAUUUUGAACCGCAUGGUUCAAAAGUGAAAGACGGUCUUGCUGUCACUUAUAGAUGGAUCCGCGCUGCAUUAGCUAGUUGGUAAGGUAACGGCUUACCAAGGCAACGAUGCAUAGCCGACCUGAGAGGGUGAUCGGCCACACUGGAACUGAGACACGGUCCAGACUCCUACGGGAGGCAGCAGUAGGGAAUCUUCCGCAAUGGGCGAAAGCCUGACGGAGCAACGCCGCGUGAGUGAUGAAGGUCCUCGGAUCGUAAAACUCUGUUAUUAGGGAAGAACAUAUGUGUAAGUAACUGUGCACAUCUUGACGGUACCUAACCAGAAAGCCACGGCUAACUACGUG
This 497-nucleotide ribosomal RNA is filed under the name uncultured bacterium. RNAcentral describes it as "partial 16S ribosomal RNA". It matches the Rfam family "Bacterial small subunit ribosomal RNA", at positions 28 to 507 of the family's 1533-position model. The record is from RNAcentral.